GGCCUUAGAGCAGCUGCCAUCAGGAGAAAACCCGGUCCCCAGCUCUACAGGGUCCAGCAUGUUGGAGCGAGGAGCUAAUUCUUGGUUUUAUUCCUGUGAAACAAAGACACAGAGGGAGAAGGAGAAGAGGAGUCAGCAGCUCGCAGAAAUACUGAGGAGGUACAAAGAGCAGAUGCUGAAGGACUUCCACCUGGCCCGGGUGCUUCCCUACUUGGUGUACGAUGGCGUGUUCUCCCUAAAAGAGUACAGAGAGAUCCUCUCGCAGGACCGCUACUCGGAGAGAGUGGAGCGCUUUCUCCUGAAGCUCUUCUCCAAAGGUCCGAAUGCUUUCUGUGCCUUCUGCGCUCAUCUGGAGGAACUCAGCCCUUACCUGCUCACCUCCCUUUUCCUUUAUUACCAAGAACAAACCCAACGGGUCCUACAAGAUGUGCUUGUGGCAGAAGAGGCAGCGAGAAACAGGAACGGAGCUCAGUGGGACUCCAGCACUGUCUCUGACCCGGAGGAGGACCGAGAACAAAGGGCUCGAUUAUUUAACAAGGAAGAAGUGAAUCAGGGAUUGUGCCUCAGAACUGCCAACAGAGAUCCAGAUAACAAGUGGCUUGUGCUGACCCAGGUCAUCCAUUGCCAGCUGCCUCUGGGAGACAUCAGGAACAUCAACAGUUCUCCAAACUGCCUGCCUCUGUCUGCAGCUGGCUCAGCUGUGUGCUCACCACCAACAGUCUGUCCAAAGACUCCCUGCAUGAGAGAUGCCCGUGCCCCACACAGCAUCACUGCCUGCCUGGCUCUGCAGGCUGAACUCUCCUCCAUCCAGAAACUAGCAAAUACUUUCCACAUGUCAGCAAGGAACAUGAUAAGUCUAUACCCACUUGCUACUAACCAUAAAGGACCACUACACUUGGAAAAGUCUUUUGAAAAUAGUUCCAAUAGAAUCAAACUAAUG
This 940-nucleotide long non-coding RNA is filed under the name Mus pahari (shrew mouse). RNAcentral describes it as "predicted gene, 73054 (MGP_PahariEiJ_G0004090.1)". The record is from RNAcentral. Lineage: Eukaryota; Metazoa; Chordata; Mammalia; Rodentia; Muridae.